Molecule: ribosomal RNA, 1568 nt
Filed under: Campylobacter lari
Lineage: Bacteria; Pseudomonadati; Campylobacterota; Epsilonproteobacteria; Campylobacterales; Campylobacteraceae
Description: partial 23S ribosomal RNA
Rfam family: Bacterial large subunit ribosomal RNA
Source: RNAcentral
AAAAAAGGUAAGCUACUAAGAGCGAAUGGUGGAUGCCUUGACUGGUAAAGGCGAUGAAGGACGUACUAGACUGCGAUAAGCUACGGGGAGCUGUCAAGAAGCUUUGAUCCGUAGAUUUCCGAAUGGGGCAACCCAGUAUAUAGAGAUAUAUACUACCAUAAUGGAGCGAACGAGGGGAAUUGAAACAUCUUAGUACCCUCAGGAAAAGAAAUCAAUAGAGAUUAUGUCAGUAGCGGCGAGCGAAAGCGUAAGAGGGCAAACCCAGUGCUUGCACUGGGGGUUGUAGGACUGCAAUGUGCAAUAAGUAAGGUUAGUAGAACACUCUGGAAAGUGUAGCCAUAGAGGGUGAUAGUCCCGUAUACGAAAACCAAACUUUAGCUAGCAGUAUCCUGAGUAGGGCGAAACACGUGGAAUUUUGUCUGAAGCUGGGUCGACCACGAUCCAACCCUAAAUACUAAUACCAGAUCGAUAGUGCACAAGUACCGUGAGGGAAAGGUGAAAAGAACUGAGGUGAUCAGAGUGAAAUAGAACCUGAAACCAUUUGCUUACAAUCAUUCAGAGCACUAUGUAGCAAUACAGUGUGAUGGACUGCCUUUUGCAUAAUGAGCCUGCGAGUUGUGGUGUCUGGCAAGGUUAAGCACACGCGAAGCCGUAGCGAAAGCGAGUCUGAAUAGGGCGCUUAAGUCAGAUGCUGCAGACCCGAAACGAAGUGAUCUAUCCAUGAGCAAGUUGAAGCUAGUGUAAGAACUAGUGGAGGACUGAACCCAUAGGCGUUGAAAAGCCCCGGGAUGACUUGUGGAUAGGGGUGAAAGGCCAAUCAAACUUCGUGAUAGCUGGUUCUCUCCGAAAUAUAUUUAGGUAUAGCGUUGUGUCGUAGUAUAAGGGGGUAGAGCACUGAAUGGGCUAGGGCAUACACCAAUGUACCAAACCCUAUCAAACUCCGAAUACCUUAUAUGUAAUCACAGCAGUCAGGCGGCGAGUGAUAAAAUCCGUCGUCAAGAGGGAAACAACCCAGACUAUCAGCUAAGGUCCCCAAGUCUUACUUAAGUGGAAAACGAUGUGAAGUUACUUAAACAACCAGGAGGUUGGCUUAGAAGCAGCCAUCCUUUAAAGAAAGCGUAAUAGCUCACUGGUCUAGUGAUUUUGCGCGGAAAAUAUAACGGGGCUAAAGUAAGCACCGAAGCUAUAGACUUAGUUUUACUAAGUGGUAGGAGAGCGUUCUAUUUGCGUCGAAGGUAUACCGGUAAGGAGUGCUGGAGCGAAUAGAAGUGAGCAUGCAGGCAUGAGUAGCGAUAAUUAAUGUGAGAAUCAUUAACGCCGUAAACCCAAGGUUUCCUACGCGAUGCUCGUCAUCGUAGGGUUAGUCGGGUCCUAAGUCGAGUCCGAAAGGGGUAGACGAUGGCAAAUUGGUUAAUAUUCCAAUACCAACAUUAGUGUGCGAUGGAAGGACGCUUAGGGCUAAGCAAGCUAGCGGAUGGAAGUGCUAGUCUAAGGAUGUAGGAGCUUAUACAGGCAAAUCCGUAUAAGAAUACUCCGAGAUCUUAAAGGCUCUUUGAAGUCUUCGGAUG